AUGGCUCAGGACAAACGCUGGCGGCGUGCCUAACACAUGCAAGUCGAACGGGACUCAGCUGAUGGUAACUGAUGUUGAGUUAGUGGCGGACGGGUGAGUAACGCGUGAGUAACCUGCCUUCAGUGGGGGACAACAGAGGGAAACUUCUGCUAAUACCGCAUGAUACAGCGAGAUCGCAUGGUCUUGCUGUCAAAGAUUUAUCGCUGAAAGAUGGACUCGCGUAUGAUUAGAUAGUUGGUGAGGUAACGGCCCACCAAGUCGACGAUCAUUAGCCGGACUGAGAGGUUGAACGGCCACAUUGGGACUGAGACACGGCCCAGACUCCUACGGGAGGCAGCAGUGAGGAAUAUUGGGCAAUGGGCGCAAACGCCUGACCCAGCAACGCCGCGUGAAGGAAGACGGUCUUCGGAUUGUAAACUUCUUUAAUUGGUGAAAGAAAAGAAAUGACGGUAGCCAAAGAAUAAGCCACGACUAACUACGUGCCAGCAGCGGC
RNAcentral lists this ribosomal RNA (493 nucleotides) under uncultured bacterium. RNAcentral's name for it is "bacterial SSU rRNA". It matches the Rfam family "Bacterial small subunit ribosomal RNA", at positions 19 to 518 of the family's 1533-position model. The record is from RNAcentral.